UGACACCAGAGGGCGCUGAGGCAGACCUGUGUGUGUUGAGGAAGGAGAGGAGGUAGGGAACGGAGCAGAGUCCAGAGUUCAGAGAGGGGGCAGGACGCCGGUCUUACUGCUUGGUAUCUUGAGGGAGGACUUGGCAAUGUGUAAAUGGAGAUCACAGGGAGCUGCGCAGUAACUCAGGGGAAAGCACCCCAGAAUGUCAUCACCAUCUCUCAAAAGACUGUUGGCUGCCCUCUCCCUUGACUGGAAGAACAUCACUCCCACUUCUACAAAGGAGGCCAGAAUAUUAUAGAAGACACCACACAGCCUGGUCACCUCUCGUUUGAACAGCUGCCAGACGUUAAAGACUCAUUAAUGCAAGGACAAACAGACUCAAAAACCGUUUUUAUCCCACUGCAAUCACUAUUCUCAAUGCUGCUUUGAAAUGAAAGGCACUUGUCGACAAUUCAUGUAAUGACAGAGAAAUGUGUGUAGUAGAAACAUGCAUGUUUGUGUAACUGCCUCUAAGUAUGCUAAGGUAGCUAUGUUGUAUGACUGUUGUAUUUACUAUGGAUUUGAUUUUAUUCUACAUUUUUAUUAUAUUUUAGAGACUGAAUGGAUGCUGCACUGACCAGAGAGCAUUUUAAAUUUCAUUGUACUUGAGAAAAUAACAAUAAUAAAUCUAAUCUAAUCAAUCCA
This is a non-coding RNA of Oryzias latipes (Japanese medaka), 675 nucleotides long. Lineage: Eukaryota; Metazoa; Chordata; Actinopteri; Beloniformes; Adrianichthyidae. The record is from RefSeq and is a predicted model, not a curated record.